This 479-nucleotide ribosomal RNA is filed under the name Plesionika ortmanni. RNAcentral's name for it is "partial 16S ribosomal RNA". It matches the Rfam family "Bacterial large subunit ribosomal RNA", at positions 1852 to 2588 of the family's 2925-position model. Lineage: Eukaryota; Metazoa; Arthropoda; Malacostraca; Decapoda; Pandalidae. The record is from RNAcentral.
GUCUGGCCUGCCCACUGAAGUAUUUUAAAGGGCCGCGGUAAUUUGACCGUGCGAAGGUAGCAUAAUCAAUAGUCUUUUAAUUGGAGGCUGGAAUGAAUGGUCGGACAAGGAGUGGGCUGUCUUCUCUAUACUCGGCGAAGUUUACUUUUAAGUGAAAAGGCUUAAAUACACUUAAGGGACGAUAAGACCCUAUAAAACUUUACAGUAUAAUUUAUAUUUUAUAAAAUAAAAUAUAACGUUAAUUAUGAACUAUCUGUUAUGUUGGGGUGACAAAGAUAUAAUUAGUAACUGUCAGGCAAAAAUAAUAAUAAUACUUAGGUUAGUUGAUCCUCUAUUAGAGAUUAUAAGAUUAAGUUACUUUAGGGAUAACAGCGUAAUUUUCUUUGAGAGUCCUUAUCGACAAGAAUAGUUGCGACCUCGAUGUUGAAUUAAGAUUUCUCUUAAAUGUAGCAGUUUAGGUAGUAGGUCUGUUCGACCUU